CCUACGGGAGGCAGCAGUGGGGAAUAUUGGACAAUGGGGGAAACCCUGAUCCAGCGACGCCGCGUGAGUGAAGAAGUAUUUCGGUACGUAAAGCUCUAUCAGCAGGAAAGAAAAUGACGGUACCUGACUAAGAAGCCCCGGCUAACUACGUGCCACGAGCCGCGGUAAUACGUAGGGGGCAGGCGUUAUCCGGAUUUACUGGGUGUAAAGGGAGCGUAGACGGCAGCGGAAGUAUGGAGUGAAAUGCCGGGGCCGAACCCCGGAACUGCUGUGGAAACUGUGAAGCUGGAGGGCGGGAGAGGUAAGCGGAAUGCGUGGUGUAGCGGUGAAAUGCGUAGAUAGCAGGAGGAACACCGGCGGCGAAGGCGGCUUACUGGACUGUAACUGACGUUGAGGCUCGAAGGCGUGGGGAGCAAACAGGAUUAGAUACCCUUGUAGUC
Molecule: ribosomal RNA, 440 nt
Filed under: uncultured bacterium
Lineage: Bacteria
Description: partial 16S ribosomal RNA
Rfam family: Bacterial small subunit ribosomal RNA
Source: RNAcentral